UUGAAAAAUUCAAUGUUUUCUAGGGCCAAGAACUGAAAUGGAAUAUCAAUAUUUUGUUUGUGGAUUUUUUAUAGGUUGUAUCGAUGUGAAGAAAUAGUGUUUGUAGCAAGAAAAAGCUACAUGUAGCUUAAGCCCCAAAGUUAACUCCUUCUCACUGUAAGACCUUCUUUGCCACCUCAUUUGUAUUCUUUAUGAUUAUUUUGGUUGAAUAUUAAUCAAAAUUUGAUUUUCUUAAUGGAUAUUAUGCGUAGUAGGGUUGGGUUCAUGUUGAUUUUUGUUUUACCUAAACGUGUGAUGCUGCAGUUGUUUACCUUCUUUGCCCUGUAAGUGUUUGAUAAAAUUCCUCUUUCAGCUUUAUUGAGCAGCUUCCGCGCUCUUCUAUAUAGUAGAAACUUAUAUUUGGAAUGCAGAGUUGCACGAAGAAAGUUAAGAGAGUGCGACACCAAGUUAUCUUUGUUUGUUGAAUGACUAUAAGCAUAAGUAUAUUAAUCUGCAUAAUCUUUUGUUACGCUAAUUAAAAGCAUUUUGCUACCUCUUGCCUUUUCGUACACAAGUAUGCUAAACUUUGUUGUGAUAUAACAAUCCACCUACAGAUAUUUCUCAUUGCUUUUCAUGGAAUUUCAUCUACCUUUUAUUCUGCUAUAUGAAUAUCAGUACUUCUGUUAAUAUCAAUACUUCUACUGACUUCCGUAUCUUCUCCGUUGCUUCUUGAUUUCUCUCGAUGGUUUUGUUUUUUGUCAAUAUCAAUAAUUCGGGUGAAACUCACUUCAUCAUUGUACCGACUAUUCUUUUUAUUUACUUUGCUUCCUAUUUCCUCAGUAGCAUAAAAGAAGAAGUUGCAAAUAGAUCACAUCUUCAAAUGAUCAACCUUAUAUGGACUGGUAAAUUGUUCAAAGGUGGUGAUGGGAGUAUGGGACCGAGAAGUUAAGCCAAUUGAUUAUCAAAUGAAAAAACCAAAAAUAUUCAAUUCACAAAUUUGUAGUCUUUUUGAAACACUGGCCCUGAAGCUGAUUUAUGUUUCAUCCUUAAAGAUUAUCAUCAGCUUUACAAAUUGCUCUUGUACGCACAUGCUGCCCGGGUAUCUUGGAGACGUUUGAGCUAAUCACAUUUUCUAUGGAUACUUUCUCUGGAUAUUACUAAUCUCAGUAAACUUCAUUAUGCAUUUAUGGGAAAAUAACAUAAAAGUCUUGGAUAUUGGUGUCAUCUGAGCAUAUGUGGUUAUACAUGGCUUAAUCCUGCCUAGCAAAGUUAUAUAUAUACCUUUAGCCAGCAGGUGAUAUAUCUGUAUAGGGACAUGUAAAAGUGAUUUUUAAAGUCUACAAUGAGGAGCAGCAUAGGAGCUUCCAACAAUAUGGGACUGAUAUGUGGCAUUCCAAAUCUAUAUCGGAUCAUCUUUGUGUUCCUUUGUGUGUUUGUAUGAGUGUUUUGAAUCUCCUUUUGUAUUUUAUCUCCUUUGCGAAUUGUCAAGUUUGAAUUCGGUUGUGAACUUAGACAAGAGGGGUUGCUCUGAUGGUAAGCAACCCCCACUUCCAACCGAGAG
Molecule: long non-coding RNA, 1540 nt
Filed under: Nicotiana benthamiana
Lineage: Eukaryota; Viridiplantae; Streptophyta; Magnoliopsida; Solanales; Solanaceae
Description: long non-coding RNA (NBEN_LNC029359)
Source: RNAcentral